AUUCUUCGGGAUCUUGAGAGCGGCGCACGGGUGCGGAACACGUGUGCAACCUGCCUUUAUCAGGGGAAUAGCCUUUCGAAAGGAAGAUUAAUGCCCCAUAAUAUUUAGAAUGGCAUCAUUUUAAAUUGAAAACUCCGGUGGAUAGAGAUGGGCACGCGCAGGAUUAGAUAGUUGGUAGGGUAACGGCCUACCAAGUCAACGAUCCUUAGGGGGCCUGAGAGGGUGAUCCCCCACACUGGUACUGAGACACGGACCAGACUCCUACGGGAGGCAGCAGUGAGGAAUAUUGGACAAUGGGUGAGAGCCUGAUCCAGCCAUCCCGCGUGAAGGACGACGGCCCUAUGGGUUGUAAACUUCUUUUGUACAGGGAUAAACCUUUCCACGUGUGGGAAGCUGAAGGUACUGUACGAAUAAGCACCGGCUAACUCCGUGCCAGCAGCCGCGGUAAUACGGAGGGUGCAAGCGUUAUCCGGAUUUAUUGGGUUUAAAGGGUCCGUAGGCGGACUCGUAAGUCAGUGGUGAAAUCUCACAGCUUAACUGUGAAACUGCCAUUGAUACUGCGGGUCUUGAGUGUUGUUGAAGUAGCUGGAAUAAGUAGUGUAGCGGUGAAAUGCAUAGAUAUUACUUAGAACACCAAUUGCGAAGGCAGGUUACUAAGCAACAACUGACGCUGAUGGACGAAAGCGUGGGGAGCGAACAGGAUUAGAUACCCUGGUAGUCCACGCCGUAAACGAUGCUAACUCGUUUUUGGGCUUUCGGGUUCAGAGACUAAGCGAAAGUGAUAAGUUAGCCACCUGGGGAGUACGUUCGCAAGAAUGAAACUCAAAGGAAUUGACGGGGGCCCGCACAAGCGGUGGAUUAUGUGGUUUAAUUCGAUGAUACGCGAGGAACCUUACCAAGGCUUAAAUGGGAAUUGACAGGCUUAGAAAUAGGCUUUUCUUCGGACAAUUUUCAAGGUGCUGCAUGGUUGUCGUCAGCUCGUGCCGUGAGGUGUUAGGUUAAGUCCUGCAACGAGCGCAACCCCUGUCACUAGUUGCCAUCAUUCAGUUGGGGACUCUAGUGAGACUGCCUACGCAAGU
RNAcentral lists this ribosomal RNA (1079 nucleotides) under Chryseobacterium sp. Its description in RNAcentral is "bacterial SSU rRNA". It matches the Rfam family "Bacterial small subunit ribosomal RNA", at positions 75 to 1163 of the family's 1533-position model. Lineage: Bacteria; Pseudomonadati; Bacteroidota; Flavobacteriia; Flavobacteriales; Weeksellaceae. The record is from RNAcentral.